This 2169-nucleotide long non-coding RNA is filed under the name Gallus gallus (chicken). RNAcentral's name for it is "lncRNA (ENSGALG00010004593.1)". Lineage: Eukaryota; Metazoa; Chordata; Aves; Galliformes; Phasianidae. The record is from RNAcentral.
UGUGGUCAGUGCCAGAGUACCCUUUGGACUUUUGAACCAGAGAGGGAACAGGAUGAGUCCACAGGUGCUGUCUGUGUUCGUGUCAGUGAUGUGUCUAUCAGUGUUAAUCUGUGUGGCCAUCCAUUUAUAUAUGGAUAUGUGCAAUUUGUGUGGAAAUGUGUGUUUGUGUGAUGUGUGCACAUAGGUUUACUUGGAAUACUUGGCCUUACUGCUGGUUUGUCCUGAAAGCAUGGAGCUGUGGCAGCCUCACCUCUACCAAGCAAUAAGAUCUGGCCCAAUUUUCCUAACAGAGAUAAGCUGGCAAACAGCUGUAAUAACGGAAUAUAACAAAACCUGAAAUCUGCUGAUAUUUUUCCCAGUUUUUUAAUUCAUAUUAAUGCUUUAUAUUUGGCAACCACAGAUCUCCCCCCCCCCAAAAAGACAACUUUCAGACUCCUGGAGCUAAUAAUUGUCAAACAUACACAUUAUAUAACAUUGCAAGGCUGUUCCCUAAACUAUCAUUUUCUUGUAGUAUGUUGAGAAAUAGACUGUGAAAACUUCAGUCUGAAAUCAUGUAGCUUUAUUUUGCCUCCUUCCUUUAAAUUUUCUCCUUCCUUUAAAUCCUUUAAAUUCUACUCUGCACUUAAAUCUUUUCUCUCCAAUUUGGACAAUUACCUAACCAGUUUUUAAAGGUGAAAGUAGCAUUUGGCAGUACAGCAAAGGUACAUGAUCUAGCCACACAUUCGCUAUAAGAACUGGAGGCAUCCAGCCCUCUAGGUUUUUACAACAUGACUUUUCCCCCCAGGAAAGCCAAGUGCUCCGUUAUGUUUUCAAAAAUAGAAACUGAGUUCACCUUGUCUUUGUGAAACAUGUUUGGUACUCUUCAUCAGCUUAAUCCCCACUGGGCUAUGCUCUAUAAGCAACGGUGUUACGUGAUUGCAGGAAAAAAACAGAGCUUUCGGGUCACGGAGAAUGUGAUGAUGUUUCUCCUCUCCCACCAGCUCCAGGAAUGCUUGUGAAGUGUUUGAGCCCUACCCAGGUGAUUGAUGAACAGACUUUUGACUGCUGUGUUGACAUCACUGGGAUUUUGUCAGUGCACUUUAAAAGGAUAGAGGGAAGAAAAAGAAACCAGAUAUUUUCAUCCUCUGCCAGUGAAAUUGGCUUGUUUGUGUCUGCAGUCCUGGAGCACCAUUUAAGAUUCCUAGGACAGAAACAAGACUGUGUUUUCACGUUGGAGAACAGUCGAUACCUGAAUUUGCAUCACAGGCUUUUGUUCUUAGUUAGGUCUUUCCCACAUGCUAUUAAAUUCAUCCAUUUUCCCAUAGGAGGAAUCCAGACAGAUUUACUCCCUCCCAUCCCAUAUUCCAGAAAGGAAGAUCAGUGGUGAAAGAUCAUCCAGUAGCAUAAAGAUGUACAAUUCAUCUGUUCUGAAGAAAAAGGAAGUCACUUUCAACUGGCUAUAUUGUCAUUCUGUUUUGUAAUCCAUCAAACUGAUGCACUUACCUACAGUUUCAUUUUUCAGAUACAAACAGUUCUUCCAAGUAUGAUUUCCCCAGUUACUCAGAAAUCAAAAUAAAGAGUACGGUAAACCAAAGUUACCCAUGUGGGCUUAUGUAACUGAAUGAUGUGCCUACUUGUUAAGGUAAGGAAGAGCACCAACAGGAAGACUGUAUUUUGCUCACAGUAUGAAAAGGGGAAAUACUGAAGUCUAGCAGAAUCUGAUGAUCAAAAUGAGAGUCUCUAGGCUAUUAUCCAAGGCCCAAACCUCUCAUGCGUGAUUUGUGCUGGCACUGGUACAGUACAGGAGCAGGUCUUGAAGGUCAGAGUCCACAGCCUGCCCCCACAGUGGCUGAUCCCUAGAGCACCUUGUGAGCCUGCAGUUUUCCAUUCAAUUGGUGUAAUAACAUGCAUUAUUAUACAAUAUGAUGGUGCCUGAGACUUUGUGUGUAUCAUCUAUUUUGUGCUUAUAGAGUUACGGUAUGCUGCAGGUUUCAUCAUCCCAUGGGGUUUUUGAGGUGUUGUUGUUUUCCCCCAGCCCAUUUCAGAAGGAAGAACAAUUUCAUGUAUUUUCAUCCACAAUCAGUAAAAGGGAAAAAAUCUUGGCUUAAAUCACUGUUUGUUUUAUUUUUUUACUAUUUUUAACUUUUCUGUCAUUGGCAGAAUGGCAAACGUAUUGAAAUAAAACUGUCU